RNAcentral lists this ribosomal RNA (447 nucleotides) under uncultured bacterium. RNAcentral describes it as "bacterial SSU rRNA". It matches the Rfam family "Bacterial small subunit ribosomal RNA", at positions 355 to 825 of the family's 1533-position model. The record is from RNAcentral.
UGGGGAAUAUUGGACAAUGGGCGAAAGCCUGACACAGCAACGCCGCGUGAAGGAUGAAGUCCCUCGGGAUGUAAACUUCGUAAGAAUAGGAAGAAUAAAUGACGGUACUAUUUGUAAGGUCCGGCUAACUACGUGCCAGCAGCCGCGGUAAUACGUAGGGACCAAGCGUUGUUCGGAUUUACUGGGCGUAAAGGGUGCGUAGGCGGCAUAUCAAGUCACUUGUGAAAUCUCCGGGCUUAACUCGGAACUGCCAAGUGAUACUGAUGUGCUAGAGUGCAGAAAGGGCAACUGGAAUUCUUGGUGUAGCGGUGAAAUGCGUAGAUAUCAAGAGGAACACCUGAGGUGAAGACGGGUUGCUGGGCUGACACUGACGCUGAGGCGCGAAAGCCAGGGGAGCAAACGGGAUUAGAUACCCGCGUAGUCCCUGAGCGGGCUGGCAAGGCGCAU